GUGCCCGCUUCGGCAGCACAUAUAUUAAAAUUGGAACAAUACAGAGAAGAUUAACUUGGACCCUGUGCAAGGAUGACAUAUACAUUUAUGAAGCAUUCUAUAUUAAA
This 107-nucleotide small nuclear RNA is filed under the name Bos grunniens (domestic yak). The record is from RNAcentral. Lineage: Eukaryota; Metazoa; Chordata; Mammalia; Artiodactyla; Bovidae.